CCUACGGGUGGCAGCAGUGAGGAAUAUUGGUCAAUGGACGAGAGUCUGAACCAGCCACGUAGCGUGAAGGAUGAAUGCCCUAUGGGUUGUAAGCUUCUUUUAUAAAGGAAUAAAACGAGGCACGUGUGCCUUUUUGCAUGUCCUUUAUGAAUACGGCUCGGCUAACUCCGUGCCAGCAGCCGCGGUAAUCCGGGGGAGCCGCGUGUUAUCCGGAUUUAUUGGGUUUAAAGGGAGCGUAGAUGGGUUGUUAAGUCAGUUGUGAAAGGUUGCGGCUCAACCGUAAAAUUGCAAUUGAUACUGGCAGUCUUGAGGACAGUGGAGGUAGGCGGAAUUCGUGGUGGAGCGGUGAAAUGCGUAGAUAUCAGGAAGAACCCCGAUUGCGAAGGCAGCUUACUAAACUGUGACUGACAUUGAGGCUCGAAAGUGUGGGUAGCAAACAGGAUUAGAUACCCCAGUAGUC
This 460-nucleotide ribosomal RNA is filed under the name uncultured bacterium. Its description in RNAcentral is "partial 16S ribosomal RNA". It matches the Rfam family "Bacterial small subunit ribosomal RNA", at positions 338 to 795 of the family's 1533-position model. The record is from RNAcentral.